GAUUUUGACAUAGGGAGGCAAUGAGAACGACCCUUUCCUUCUGGUGGAGGUUGCUGAGCAGGGGUGAUAUGAGCUUCUCAGUCUGUUCAGGCUGCUAUAACAAAAUGCCUUAGACUGGGAGGCUUAAAAACAACAGACAGUUAUUUCUCCCAGUUCUACAGACUGGGAAGUUCAAGAUAAGGUGGCAGCAGAUUUGGUGUCUGGUGACCACCUGCUUUCUGGCUCAUAGCUUGCUACAGUUUGAAUGUCCCCUCCAAAACUCAUGUUGAAACUUAAUCCCUAAUGUGGCAGUGUUGAGAGGCAGGGCUUUUAAGAGAGGCAAUUCUGUUUGCUGCAAAGAAUCAAGAGGCAAACCUGUAAGACUCAGGUGAAAAGACAAGGAAAAUUGGAACUUCUUUUUCUGUUCUGGGAUCUUGUUUUGAAUGUUGCUUAAAACGACCGAGUCUUAUUCAGACACUGGCAACCAUUUUGCGCAGAAGAGAUUUCUGCCAAGACAAGAUGCAAAUUGUAGAUUGGACCCAUUGGUUUUGGAGUCUGGGGAUAUGCAGAGGCUAUGCAGAGGGGUGCUGCUCAGCUCAGCACCCCUGGUUUUCUGGAUGGAGUCGGGGCACCAGCUGGCAGGCAGCCCAGCACAGCUCAUUUUUUGAAAAACCAAAAUGAAACAGCACCACCACCAACAACAUAGCAUCAUCUUGAACAGAAAAAUAUAGCAAGGAGCUGGGAGACAGAUUAAGCAAUUCAGGAGCUAGGAUGACGUGUGGGAAUUUUAGACUGUUUCAUCCCAUUAGCAAAGAUAAAAUGCAUACAUUUCACAUAAAGUCAUGUGUUGUUAACACAAAUUUAUAAUUCUAUUGAAGGUCAAUAAAAUGCUUAAUACAAUAUUCAUGUGAUUAGGAAUUCCCAUGUUGCAGAGGCUAGAAGGACACUUCUACUCUCAGGCUGAGGGUCUGGGCUUCCCGGCUCAUUCCAAGCCUGAGGCAGAGCCACCUGGACUGGUGGCAGUGGUCAGAGGAAGGACACAAAAGCUUUGGAACAUGCAUCCCUUGGAGGUUGCUGGUGCUGACUCUGGACAUUUCAUUCCCCAGUGACCUUGUUGUUUCUUCUCCUCAUUUGUGAAGUGUCCUGUUUGCUUUAUAGGCUUGUUUAGACACUCAGAUGAAAUAAUGGAUGAUAUUAUGAAAAUUGUAAGUGACAAUAGAAAUGUAAGAUGCACAUAGGAAUGAGAGAAAUAGAUCCUCAGAAGGAGGAGGAAAACCACCAAGCCUAAAACACUAAGAAGCUAAAGUUCGGGUCUGGAUGAGAAAAAAAAGGCUUAAGAGGACUAAGAUUGCAAAGCCAGGAUGAUGCUGUGUUUUUGCUGACCUCUUUGGAAUAUGGUUGGCUACUAGAAUCCUGGCAGGGCCCUGUAAGAGUCGCUGGCCAGACAGACUCUCGAGCCGGCCUGCCUGGUUUCACACUCUGCCUCACCACUGUGACCAUGUGACCUUGGGUGGGAGACUUUGCUUCUCUUUGCCUCAAUUUUCUUAUCUGUGAAAUGGGGAUAACCACAUUCAUCUCAGAGGAUAGUUGUAAGAAUUAAGAGAAUCCAUUCAUGUGAAGUACUUGAAUAGUGUCUGGAAAAUGAUAAGUUCUCAAUAAAUCAGCAAUCAUUAUUUC
Macaca fascicularis (crab-eating macaque) is the source of this 1656-nucleotide long non-coding RNA. NCBI's taxonomy places the organism in Eukaryota, Metazoa, Chordata, Mammalia, Primates, Cercopithecidae. The record is from Ensembl.